RNAcentral lists this ribosomal RNA (503 nucleotides) under uncultured bacterium. Its description in RNAcentral is "partial 16S ribosomal RNA". It matches the Rfam family "Bacterial small subunit ribosomal RNA", at positions 30 to 523 of the family's 1533-position model. The record is from RNAcentral.
AUUGAACGCUGGCGGCAGGCUUAACACAUGCAAGUCGAGCGGGGUGAUGGUGCUUGCACUAUCACUUAGCGGCGGACGGGUGAGUAAUGCUUAGGGAUCUGCCUAUUAGUGGGGGACAACAUCUCGAAAGGGAUGCUAAUACCGCAUACGUCCUACGGGAGAAAGCAGGGGAUCACUUGUGACCUUGCGCUAAUAGAUGAGCCUAAGUCGGAUUAGCUAGUUGGUGGGGUAAAGGCCUACCAAGGCGACGAUCUGUAGCGGGUCUGAGAGGAUGAUCCGCCACACUGGGACUGGAACACGGCCCAGACGCCUACGGGAGGCAGCAGUGGGGAAUAUUGGACAAUGGGGGGAACCCUGAUCCAGCCAUGCCGCGUGUGUGAAGAAGGCCUUAUGGUUGUAAAGCACUUUAAGCGAGGAGGAGGCUCUUUUGGUUAAUACCCAAGAUGAGUGGACGUUACUCGCAGAAUAAGCACCGGCUAACUCUGUGCCAGCCGCCGCAGUAA